UACGUAGGGUGCAAGCGUUAAUCGGAAUUACUGGGCGUAAAGCGUGCGCAGGCGGCUUUGCAAGACAGAUGUGAAAUCCCCGGGCUUAACCUGGGAACUGCAUUUGUGACUGCAUGGCUAGAGUGCGGCAGAGGGGGAUGGAAUUCCGCGUGUAGCAGUGAAAUGCGUAGAGAUGCGGAGGAACACCGAUGGCGAAGGCAAUCCCCUGGGCCUGCACUGACGCUCAUGCACGAAAGCGUGGGGAGCAAACAGG
Molecule: ribosomal RNA, 253 nt
Filed under: uncultured bacterium
Lineage: Bacteria
Description: partial 16S ribosomal RNA
Rfam family: Bacterial small subunit ribosomal RNA
Source: RNAcentral